UACAAUACAAUAGGUAAUGACCGUCUAAACAAGCUAUAAAUGGGUAUUGUAAGUUGUCUAUCCUUAUGCAAGCUAUCAGUAGGGCGAUGAUUUCGUGGCUCGGGCCUGCCCGUAUAGCAUAGAGACAACUGUCACUGUUCCGAGGCUCUUCUUCAUGUCUAAACCAAAUACACAAUUAAACAAUAAUAGAGCAGCUUUUUCUAAUUAAUUAUGGUCUAAGCCAAAUAGCUUAGAGAUGUUGUCAUCAAGAUGAUGAUGAUUUCUGAAAUCAAUGGUGGAGAUAGCCCUACGAUUGAGGCUUAAUCUGUUGUCUUCAUAAUGCUUAGCAGCCUCAGUAAUGGAGGCUAAUAAAAUGGGAUAAUUCUUGAUGUUUUUGAGAGCAUCAGGAUGUGCCUCAGUUUUAGCAGAUUGGUUCAUCUUGUUUCUAAAUUUGAAAGCUGGAGUUGGUGAAGGAGGAGGACUUUCAAUAUUAUUAUUAUUAUUAUUCCUUCUGCUUAAGGAAAAUGAACUGCUAUUUGCACCACUAUGACCUUGCAUACUUGACUCUCCUUGCUUUUCCUGUUGAUCAAUCAAUUAAAUAUAGUUUAGUAUAAUAAGAGGCGGAGCAAUAAUUUAAAGUUUAUAUAUUCUGAAUAUGAUCAAACGCUAUCGAGUUAUUGUAUUCUGAAUAUAACUUAUUUUAGUUAUUGAGUUCGUAACUAAAAAUUAUACUUCCUCCAUUUCAAUUUAUGUGAAAAUAUUUGACUGGGCACGGAGUUUAAGAAAAGAAAGAAGACUUUUGAUCUUGUAUUGUAAAAUAAGGCACCUUUAUUUUAUGUGGGUAUAAACUAUUAUGUAAAGAUAAAUUGUUUACAAAUAUGGAAAGGGAUCAUUCUUUUUGGUACGGAUUAAAAAGAAAAUAGGUUCACAUAAAUUAAAACAAAAAAUAUAUAUAUUUUAUAAUUUUUUAAAUAUAAAUAUAAUUUAACCAAAUUCUAUUGAGUUCGUUGGAUGAGGUCAUGUAACUCAGGGGAUGAGUCCACGUGGUUGGAAUCCCUGGUCAGUCCUAACCGGACCGGCUCAAAAGCGAAAUACUUUUAUUCGAUUUGUUCCAGUAACAGAUGAUUAAUCAUCUGCUUUUGUGAAUAGCUAAGACAUUGAGGAUUAUAUGUUCGUCUACAAUGUGCAAUUUGCUUUUUAAAAUCUUACAAUAUUAUGUGAACAUUUAUAAUCCAAAUUUUUGAAGAACGGUGCUUCCCUUUUUUUAAGUUACAAAAAUAAUUAAAGCUGCACAUAGUUUUUUAUAUAUAGACUCACUCUUACAAAUAUUGCUAGACAAUAGUACCUUCAGUCAAGGGUGGAGAUGAAGACAGCAGACAGGGAACAUUUGAGGGGAGUAAUGAGAGUUGGUUAAUUGGUCUGACCAAUAAAAUUGCCAACCUCUUUUGUGUAUGUGUAUUUGGUGGCAUGCAUGUGGAACCAUUUAUGGCAUUUGUGUCCUAUUUUUGAAGGAAAAGUUUUUUGGUUUUCUAUUCGGUAUUUGUAUUAGAGUCCGACUAUAUUCGGAUUCCGCCGUUUAGAGCUCAUUCGAAGGAAACGCUCUCUAUUAAAGAUUUUUCCAUAUUCAAGACUGGAACUCGAUACCUUUAAUUAAGAAAAGAACAGUCCCAUGAAAAAAAAAGUUCAAUGUUUUAUGAAAUAAUUAUUACUCGUAUAAAACGAAAUAAAAUGAAAUUAUAAGAGAAAGAAAAUUGAGAGAGUGAUAAAAAUGGAUACCAUUUUAUCAUUCCUUCGGUUUAAGAUCAGGAAAAUAGAGAGAGGAAAAAAAUGAAAAAUGGUUUACUGAAAUAAGAUCACUAGGUCAGUAUGGCCAGGGCAAAUCUCCCGUACAAUAUACGGCUUCACGUGUCAGCAACUUUUUUCUAACAGUGUGCUAAAACUUUCACUAAGAACCUAUAAAUAUUUGAUCAUGAAUCCCAUUAUUAUCAUAAAUUUACUUAAAAUUAUCGUAAAGACCCAUAAACUUUAAAUCCUAAAUUCAUGUAUGAGUAUGACACUAAAAAAAUAUUCUAUAUUUUCAAUACUAUUCUUUGGAGCUCAAAAUUAUUGUGAGGGUUAAAAUCUAGAAAUUAUUCUUCAAACUAUAAUAAAUUGAAAACUAGGCCAUAAGUUGCAUUUUGUGCCCCUCAUUUUGUUAAUUUAUAAGAGACAUAUUCCUAGCGUACGUCUUUUUUCCUUUCAUAUAUAAUUUAAUAAAAAACUAAAAAGAUCGAAAAGGAGAAAGCAUUUACCUCUGCAGAAUAUUCAGAAAUAUUAGAGAGUAUUUUUCGGUAGCCCUCUUUAUUUUUUCGAACCCGUUUGCCUUUUAAUUUCUUCCUGUGGUGCAAUUCCCUCCACAUUAAAAUUGAACGAAUAGAGGGAAAAAUAUUAGAAAAAUAAAAUAAAGCAUCUUAAUUAAUUAUUAAAGCAAAAAAAGAAAAAAGAAAAUAAAACAAACACAGAAGAACUAAUCUAUAAACCCAUAGGUAAAUAAAUAAAUGAUGAUCUC
This 2527-nucleotide long non-coding RNA is filed under the name Nicotiana benthamiana. RNAcentral's name for it is "long non-coding RNA (NBEN_LNC005404)". The record is from RNAcentral. Lineage: Eukaryota; Viridiplantae; Streptophyta; Magnoliopsida; Solanales; Solanaceae.